AGGGAAGAAGAAAAGACAGCACCGUUUGAACAGAAUUCUGGUGGCUCUCCGAUGACAGGAAGAGCAACAAACAACUCCAGGGAGAAUUUGACAAGCGGUCCCUCUGGUGCAACAAAGUAGUUCAGUCCAAAAGUGCAGAUGACGACAAUGACGAUGACAACGACGAUGAUGAUGACAUUGACGACAACGACUACAGAUGACAAGAGCCAAAGGAAAGUGAUGGAUUUCAGAAGAGACGGUUCAGCUCUGCACAAUAAAUGUUGCCACAGUGUAACUCUUCUUACUUUGUGGGGUUUAGCAGACUUUUUUCCCCCUGCCCAGUCCUCAGAAAGGAGCAAACUGGCAUUUGUUUGAGCCCUGACUGAGGUGUAGAAAAUCUGUCAAGUUUUCUCUGCCUCUCACCCUGACCACAAUUAUACGGUGCACGUGCAGAUUAGCUGCAAAGUCACUCUUACCCCAGGAGUGACAACACUUCCCCCAAAUAAAAAGUUACGUACUGUAUCCUAGAGUGGCCGUCUGUGGUAUAAAGGCAAGGAGGGGGUCCUGGGCAGGGGGAGAAGAAAUGCCUUCAAAAGAAGCACAUAACAACGGAAAAAGUAGCUGAAACAGAGUGGCGACAAGGCAGUAACAGAGAGCUGCAUUGUCAUGAGCUGAGUAAUCCUAUGACACACUGCUGUCACUCACCACGAGGCUCCCUGCUGAGCCCGCUAGACAUCAAAGACCGCCCCAUACCAUCUUACAUGCUCUUUAUCAGCUAAUCAGCCUAUUCUUCCCUAAAUAAAGCCCUCUUAAAUCCCCUGCUCACAGGGGUAUACCAGUCCUGUUGCCCAUCUGCUUGUGAGGGUCAACUGAAGCAGGAGGCAGCGGAUUGUUCUCUCCCUGGUGGCUUCUCAAGGGUAUUUUCAAGUGUCCCCAUUUUAAAGAUGGAAAAAUGGAGUUCAGAGUUAUAAAUGUUUGUCCAAGAGCCACCCAGCUUGGGAGCAUGUUUCCCCCUUGAACUCAGAUGCUUAAUCACACAUUCAAAAUCAAUGAAGCUGGAGACAUUGCUGCAGAUCUGAAAUGAACUGACCCCCCAAAUCCCCAGCCCUAACUCUGAUGCGUGGCGGUUUAGCAUCCUUGGCACACAGAUGAACAUCUGGGUUGAGGAAACCUGAGGGGGUUCACCUUUUCUCCCCUAGGAGAGGUCUUAGUUCUCUUGCAAGGCAAUCAUAUAAUAAUGCAAAUUGUCAGACCUGACCAGGACAAUUGGUGAGUGGUAGCAGGUGCCUGCUCCCUCUCUACCUCUGGCCUUCACUGCUACUUUGAGAGAAACAGAGCUGCCACAGCAUGGUCCAUAUUCCCACUGUUGCACUGGAAUGGAGAAGCUGACUGGCAGAGAAAACGUUUAUAAAGUAUCUGUGCUUAGGAUUUAAAGGACCCUCUUCAUAGGACCAUAAUCCCUUUAUUUUACAGGUGAGGAAACUAAGGUUUGUCAGAGAGGUUAAGUAAUUUCCCAAGGUCAUGAGGCAGUAAGUGAUAGAAACAGGAGUGGAAUUCAGUUGUGAAUAUGUUACUGUAACAACAUAAAUGCACAUGUAAUGUAUUAAUAUUCCUAUGAGAAUAUGUUAAUAUAAUUUAAAAUAAAGUAUUCAAGGAA
Molecule: long non-coding RNA, 1636 nt
Organism: Dromiciops gliroides (monito del monte)
Lineage: Eukaryota; Metazoa; Chordata; Mammalia; Microbiotheria; Microbiotheriidae
Exons: 4
Source: RefSeq, a predicted model, not a curated record